AUCUAAAUAGUUUAAUUGAGAAUGAUAAUUUGUGGUAUUAUAGGUGUAAUUUUACUUUAGAUU
This 63-nucleotide transfer RNA is filed under the name Piesma maculatum. RNAcentral describes it as "tRNA-His". The record is from RNAcentral. Lineage: Eukaryota; Metazoa; Arthropoda; Insecta; Hemiptera; Piesmatidae. RNAcentral also lists the same sequence under 1 other name.